This is a non-coding RNA of Triticum urartu, 150 nucleotides long. Lineage: Eukaryota; Viridiplantae; Streptophyta; Magnoliopsida; Poales; Poaceae. The record is from RefSeq and is a predicted model, not a curated record.
AUUAAACUGAAGAUGAAGGAAAAUGCCAGUUGCAGGUGUUUGUCCAGGAGUUAUGUAGAAGGACCGAUUUGGAAACUCAGGAUGAGGUAACCUGUGCUAAUACCUCUGCUAUCUACAAGAAUGCUUGGUGGUAGUAUCAGAAUUACCUGA